Long non-coding RNA from Cebus imitator (Panamanian white-faced capuchin), 873 nucleotides. RefSeq lists it as uncharacterized. The record is from RefSeq and is a predicted model, not a curated record. NCBI's taxonomy places the organism in Eukaryota, Metazoa, Chordata, Mammalia, Primates, Cebidae. The transcript is spliced from 3 exons.
GAUGCUAUUGUCAAUGGAAUCACUUUUGUAAUUUUUUUCUGAUUGUUCAUUGUUAGUGUACAGAAAUGCAAGUUUUUUGUGGAUGGCUUUGUAUCCUGCUAUUUUGCUAAUUUUAUUUGUUCUAAUAGUGUUUUGUAUAAUCUUUAGGAUUUUCUACAUAUAAAAUCAUACCAUCUGUGAGUAGAGAUAAUUUUACUUCUUUUUUUCCAGUGUGAAUGUCUUUUAUUUCUUUUUUUGCCUCCUUGCUCUAUUUGAAUAGAAAUGGCAAGAGCAGGAAUUCUUGCCUUCUUCCUGAUCUUAUAGGAAAAGGUUUCAUUCUUUCACCAUUGAGUAUAUAGUGUUUGCUGUGGGUUUUUCAUAUCUGGCUUUUAUUAUGUUGAGGUAGUUUCCUUCUAUUCCGAGUUCGUUGACUGUUUUUAUCAUGAAAGGUUGUUGAAUCUUGUCUCACGCAUUUUCCGCAUCAAUUAAGAUGAUGUAAGGUUUUUUUCAUUCUCUUAUGAACCCCCAAAAAUCUGAGACAGGUCUCAGUCAUUUUAGGAAGUUUAUUUUGCCAAAGUUAAGGACGUGUGCCUGGGAGACAGGUCUAUGCCUUUCUCCGAACCUGAUUUUUAGGGUUCCAAAUUUAAAGGGGAAAGGGUGGGAUAUUGAAAAGUACACAAUUUUCAUGUAAGAGCAGGGUAGGGGGAAAAUAGUCAUUCAUGCCUUCGUCUGGCUCAGUGAAUUUGCAUUUUUACGUGAGGUAAUGUAGGGCAAGGGAGGAUAAGAUAACAAAGACAAAUGGGGCAGGGGAACAAUUGAAUAUGCAUUUGUGCCAGGUGGGCAGAGGGGUGAUGCCUCUGUAAAGAUAAGCUAUCAAUUUACAUUGCCAUGAUG